Molecule: long non-coding RNA, 1240 nt
Organism: Nyctereutes procyonoides (raccoon dog)
Lineage: Eukaryota; Metazoa; Chordata; Mammalia; Carnivora; Canidae
Exons: 3
Source: RefSeq, a predicted model, not a curated record
UUAAGAUAGUGGUUUCAUGUAAAGCGCCUAACCAACACUGUGAUUCCCAUUUGCUAAGCCAUCAUGCAGGGAAUGUUGCCUUCACUGCCGAAGAUGACACUUGCGGAGAGGAAGCAAUGAUUGUCUGAGAACGUGAGACUGAAGGGCAGAUUCACAGGCUGCCAGUGGGAGCCUUCCCAAGCAUCUACUAACUACGGAUUGACCUCAAAUAUGGAAGCUCUGAACUAAGAAUAUGUGCAGAAAGAGAGAAAGAGCCCGGAUCUCUGAUAUCAACAAAGUGUUGAAGUGUCGCAUGGGCCUGAACAGCCACCUCUUGUUUCCUCUCUCGGUGGAGUUUGGCUACUUUCUGUUGAACCACUUCAUGGUUAAACAAAAAUUUUAACUAAUAGAGUGACCUUUGACAAAAAGGAAAAUGUUAAACGUUAUAGGAUCGUGAAAACAUCAUUUUCUAAAUGUAUGACCUGAUUUAGAAGGAGAAAUUCAAGAAUGCAAAAGAAAGAACAGUUUGAAUGAAUCUUGCACACUUCUAAAAUAAAUCAAUGGAGGCUUGCUACACCCUGAGCUAAAUAUCAAUAAUUUUGACAUUAACAUUUUUGUGAAGUGCCUGAAACGCUAGCAUGAUUUUAGUAAAUAAAAGGUGACCACAUGUGCUCUAAUUUGGGAUGUGAAUUGACAACUGUGGCCAUUCAGUCAUAAAAUUCAAGUGCUUGCUCAGAAAGAGGAGGAUCCCAGUGUGAAGCCAGAGAGCUUCUGGAAGUAAGACCAAGACAUUUAUUAACGCAGUUUGGAGUUUACUCUAAUGCUUUAAUAAAUACUUACAUGAAAGUCAUACAGAUUAGCAUCAUAAAGCAUGGAGAAGACUUUGGCCUAUAUGAAUUCUGAGAGCAGAAACUACUACUUGCUAAUCUUGGUAACCAAAAAUAAUUUUUAUCGGGCUCACAUAGACCAACAUAAUUAUCUACUAUCAUCCGCUCAGCGUAGGAUUGGGGAAUCAAUGCCCAGGUAUGGAAUCCUAAAAUAAGAAACAAGGGAAUGUCAACUGUGCAUUCAAAUGAUGCUCUACUAGUUAUGAAAGUGAGAUCUCUGCAAGGGAAAAGAGUUCUCCCUUAAAUAUGGAAAGCAAGGGAAUUCACAAUAGAAAAGCUGACAGAGAUAGGGCAGCCUUAAUUUACAUGUCAGCUAUAAUAUCUGCCUUACAAGACUAUUUACUUGGUAACUCGAUGGCAUUCCUUAAACUUAG